UUGGAGGGCAAGUCUGGUGCCAGCAGCCGCGGUAAUUCCAGCUCCAAUAGCGUAUAUUAAAGUUGUUGCAGUUAAAAAGCUCGUAGUUGAAUUUCGGGAUCGACGGGUCGGUCGCGCCUCUGGUGUGUACUGGCCCUGUCGGUUUCUCCCUUCUGACGAACCACGAUGUCAUUAAUUUGGUGUCGUGGGAAAUCAGGACUGUUACUUUGAAAAAAUUAGAGUGUUUAAAGCAGGCAUUCGCUUGAAUACAUUAGCAUGGAAUAAUGAAAUAGGACGUUUGAUCUUAUUUUGUUGGUUUCUAAGAUCGACGUAAUGAUUAAUAGGGAUAGUUGGGGGCAUUAGUAUUCAAUUGUCAGAGGUGAAAUUCUUGGAUUUAUUGAAGACUAACUACCGCGAAAGCAUUUGCCAAGGAUGUUUUCAUUAAUCAAGAACGAAAGUUAGGGGAUCGAAGACGAUCAGAUACCGUCGUAGUCUUAACCAUAAACUAUGCCGACUAGGGAUCGGAUGAUGUUAAUUUUUUAAUGACUCAUUCGGCGCCUUACGGGAAAC
This 549-nucleotide ribosomal RNA is filed under the name Glomus sp. RNAcentral's name for it is "SSU rRNA". It matches the Rfam family "Eukaryotic small subunit ribosomal RNA", at positions 548 to 1098 of the family's 1831-position model. RNAcentral also lists the same sequence under 1 other name. The record is from RNAcentral. Lineage: Eukaryota; Fungi; Glomeromycota; Glomeromycetes; Glomerales; Glomeraceae.